CUAACGUCCGUCGUGAAGAGGGAAACAACCCAGACCGCCAGCUAAGGUCCCAAAGUCAUGGUUAAGUGGGAAACGAUGUGGGAAGGCCCAGACAGCCAGGAUGUUGGCUUAGAAGCAGCCAUCAUUUAAAGAAAGCGUAAUAGCUCACUGGUCGAGUCGGCCUGCGCGGAAGAUGUAACGGGGCUAAACCAUGCACCGAAGCUGCGGCAGCGAACGUAUCACUUAAAGCGAUUCAGCGGGUUACGAUUGACGGAGCGAAGCGACGUCAAAGCGUAUACAAAGUCGAGUCGGUUUAAGGAUACGUUCGUUGGGUAGGGGAGCGUUCUGUAAGCCUGUGAAGGUGGCCUGUGAGGGUUGCUGGAGGUAUCAGAAGUGCGAAUGCUGACAUAAGUAACGAUAAAGCGGGUGAAAAGCCCGCUCGCCGGAAGACCAAGGGUUCCUGUCCAACGUUAAUCGGGGCAGGGUGAGUCGACCCCUAAGGCGAGGCCGAAAGGCGUAGUCGAUGGGAAACGGGUUAAUAUUCCCGUACUUGGUGUUACUGCGAAGGGGGGACGGAGAAGGCUAUGUUGGCCGGGCGACGGUUGUCCCGGUUUAAGCGUGUAGGUGUGUGUUCCAGGUAAAUCCGGUUCACUUUAACACUGAGGCGUGACGACGAGGCACUACGGUGCUGAAGCAACAAAUGCCCUGCUUCCAGGAAAAGCCUCUAAGCAUCAGGUAACAUCAAAUCGUACCCCAAACCGACACAGGUGGUCAGGUAGAGAAUACCAAGGCGCUUGAGAGAACUCGGGUGAAGGAACUAGGCAAAAUGGUGCCGUAACU
RNAcentral lists this ribosomal RNA (819 nucleotides) under Salmonella enterica subsp. enterica serovar Derby. Its description in RNAcentral is "partial 23S ribosomal RNA". It matches the Rfam family "Bacterial large subunit ribosomal RNA", at positions 998 to 1735 of the family's 2925-position model. Lineage: Bacteria; Pseudomonadati; Pseudomonadota; Gammaproteobacteria; Enterobacterales; Enterobacteriaceae. The record is from RNAcentral.